AGCGAACGCUGGCGGCAGGCUUAACACAUGCAAGUCGAGCGCUCGUAGCAAUACGAGAGCGGCAGACGGGAGAGUAACACGUGGGAACGUACCCUUUGGUUCGGAACAACACAGGGAAACUUGUGCUAAUACCGAAUAAGCCCUUACGGGAAGAUUAUCGCCAAAGGAUCGGCCCGCGUCUGAUUAGCUAGUUGGUGGGGUAAUGGCCCACCAAGGCGACGAUCAGUAGCUGGCUGAGAGGAUGACCAGCCUCAUUGGGACUGAGACACGGCCCAAACUCCUACGGGAGGCAGCAGUGGGGAAUAUUGGACAAUGGGCGCAAGCCUGAUCCAGCCAUGCCGCGUGGAUGAUGAAGGCCUUAGGGUUGU
This 368-nucleotide ribosomal RNA is filed under the name uncultured bacterium. Its description in RNAcentral is "bacterial SSU rRNA". It matches the Rfam family "Bacterial small subunit ribosomal RNA", at positions 29 to 426 of the family's 1533-position model. The record is from RNAcentral.